UAAAGAUUCAUCGCUGAUAGAUAGGCAUGCGUUCCAUUAGGCAGUUGGCGGGGUAACGGCCCACCAAACCGACGAUGGAUAGGGGUUCUGAGAGGAAGGUCCCCCACAUUGGUACUGAGACACGGACCAAACUCCUACGGGAGGCAGCAGUGAGGAAUAUUGGCCAAUGGGCGUAAGCCUGAACCAGCCAAGUCGCGUGAGGGAUGAAGGUUCUAUGGAUCGUAAACCUCUUUUAUAAGGGAAUAAAGUGCGGGACGUGUCCCGUUUUGUAUGUACCUUAUGAAUAAGGAUCGGCUAACUCCGUGCCAGCAGCCGCGGUAAUACGGAGGAUCCGAGCGUUAUCCGGAUUUAUUGGGUUUAAAGGGUGCGUAGGCGGCCUUUUAAGUCAGCGGUGAAAGUCUGUGGCUCAACCAUAGAAUUGCCGUUGAAACUGGGAGGCUUGAGUAUGUUUGAGGCAGGCGGAAUGCGUGGUGUAGCGGUGAAAUGCUUAGAUAUCACGCAGAACCCCGAUUGCGAAGGCAGCCUGCCAAGCCAUGACUGACGCUGAUGCACGAAAGCGUGGGGAUCAAACAGGAUUAGAUACCCUGGUAGUCCACGCAGUA
This 602-nucleotide ribosomal RNA is filed under the name uncultured bacterium. RNAcentral describes it as "bacterial SSU rRNA". It matches the Rfam family "Bacterial small subunit ribosomal RNA", at positions 202 to 804 of the family's 1533-position model. The record is from RNAcentral.